Molecule: ribosomal RNA, 105 nt
Filed under: Mycoplasmatota bacterium
Lineage: Bacteria; Bacillati; Mycoplasmatota
Source: RNAcentral
CUUGGUGAUUAUGGCGAGGAUGGUACACCUGUUUCCAUCUCGAACACAGAAGUUAAGCUCCUCAGCGCCGACGAUAGUGAAAGCGAAAAUAGGACAUUGCCAAGG